Capsicum annuum is the source of this 851-nucleotide long non-coding RNA. RefSeq lists it as uncharacterized. Lineage: Eukaryota; Viridiplantae; Streptophyta; Magnoliopsida; Solanales; Solanaceae. The transcript is spliced from 2 exons. The record is from RefSeq and is a predicted model, not a curated record.
AUACCCUAACUACCUUCAAGCCCUAUAUCAGAUUAGGACUUUUCCUUUUACCUCCCAUAAUGUUGCUUCCUCUCCUCUUUUCUCUCUCUCCUUCAACGUCCCUUUACCCUUUCAAGCAAAAUUUUCAGGGUUUUCACCAUGGAAAGAGGUUAGGUACUCCAUUUUUAUAUUAUGGUCUUUUCAAUCACGUGAAUCUACAAACUCUAUCCCAAACGUUCAAAUUUGGACGUCCCUUUGAGCAUGGAUUCAAAAAUUUAAAAGUGAAAUCCCGCCCAAAAUGAAAGAUGGAAGCCCUAAUUUCUUUCUAUAAAUACCCUCUUUCAAGUUCUAUCUCGGGGGGCUGGAGAAGUGACCUCCAUCUUUGUUGCAAAAAGCUUUUUCAAACACUUCUCUAUCCCAAAGCUUUUCGAAUCCACUAUUAGUUGCCCUCUUCAUUAGAAAAGCUUUAAAUUUUAGUCGUUUGUUUUUCUAGAGUAUAUAAAAAAGCCUCCCUGAUUUUUAUUUUUGGCCUUGGUCAAUUUUGAUGUCAAUUUAUAUUACUCCAUUUGAGGUUUGAGUUGUUUUGAGAGUGAGCAAAUGGAGUCCUAACGUAGGACUCUCGCAAAAAGGGGUCUCAAGACGAGACUCUAACGCAUCCGUACUUGGAGUCAUACAUUGUGUUUCUUAGAAUGCAUCAACCCUCAAGUAAACGAGUGAAACCUUGGGAUUGUUUAGGGUGUCUUCCUUUAUCAUUUGUUACUAUUAUUGUUAUAUUACUCUGUUUUGUUAUUAGUAGCUCAUCUAUGUGUGACUUGGUUCUUUUAUUUUCCCUGAAGUUUGAGGUUAUCUAUUGAAUUUCAUUUUAAGCACUA